RNAcentral lists this ribosomal RNA (354 nucleotides) under uncultured bacterium. RNAcentral describes it as "bacterial SSU rRNA". It matches the Rfam family "Bacterial small subunit ribosomal RNA", at positions 8 to 353 of the family's 1533-position model. The record is from RNAcentral.
AGAGUUUGAUCAUGGCUCAGGAUGAACGCUAGCGACAGGCUUAACACAUGCAAGUCGAGGGGCACAUGAUUUGUAGCAAUACAGAUUGGUGGCGACCGGCGCACGGGUGAGUAACGCGUAUGCAACUUACCUAUCAGAGGGGGAUAGCACGGCGAAAGUCGGAUUAAUACCCCAUAAAACAGGGGUCCCGCAUGGGAAUAUUUGUUAAAGAUUCAUCGCUGAUAGAUAGGCAUGCGUUUCAUUGGGCAGUUGGCGGGGUAACGGCCCACCAAACCGACGAUGGAUAGGGGUUCUGAGAGGAAGGUCCCCCACAUUGGUACUGAGACACGGACCAAACUCCUACGGGAGGCAGCA